GACGAACGCUGGCGGCGUGCCUAAUACAUGCAAGUCGAACGAGAGCAACCGGUGCUUGCACUGGUCAAUCUAGUGGCGAACGGGUGAGUAACACGUGGAUAACCUGGUAACCAGAGGGGGAUAACAUCCGGAAACGGAUGCUAAAAACGUAAAGGUCCUUGAUCCGCAUGGUUUGAAGAGGAAAAGUGGCGCAAGCUUAUGCUGUUGCAUGGACCCGCGUUGCAUUAGCAAGAUGGUGAGGUAGCGGCUAACCAAGACCGUGAUGCAUAGCCGACCGGAGAGGGUGAUCGGCAAAAUUGGGACUGAGACACGGCCCGAACUCCUACGGAGGGCGGCAGAAGGGAAUCUUCCGCAAUGGACGCAGGUCGGACGGGGCAACGCCGCGUGAGUGAAGAAGGUGUUCGGAUCGUAAAACUCUGUUGUUAGGGAAGAACAAUGGCUAGAGUAACUGUUAGCACCUUGACGGUAUCUAACCAGAAAGCCACGGCUAACUACGUG
This 498-nucleotide ribosomal RNA is filed under the name uncultured bacterium. Its description in RNAcentral is "partial 16S ribosomal RNA". It matches the Rfam family "Bacterial small subunit ribosomal RNA", at positions 28 to 507 of the family's 1533-position model. The record is from RNAcentral.